Molecule: ribosomal RNA, 253 nt
Filed under: uncultured bacterium
Lineage: Bacteria
Description: partial 16S ribosomal RNA
Rfam family: Bacterial small subunit ribosomal RNA
Source: RNAcentral
UACGUAGGGGGCUAGAGUUGUCCGGAUUUACUGGGUGUAAAGGGUGCUCAGGUGGAUUUGUUAGUCAGAGGUGAAAUUCCAAAGCUUAACUUUGGAGCUGCCUUUGAUACUGCAAGUCUAGAGUUUGAGAGAGGGUAAUGGAAUAUCUGGUGUAGCAGUGAAAUGCGUAGAUAUCAGAUAGAACACCAAUGGCGAAGGCAGUUACCUGGCUCAAAACUGACGCUAAAGCACGAAAGUGUGGGGAGCAAACAGG